This is a long non-coding RNA of Frieseomelitta varia, 509 nucleotides long. RefSeq lists it as uncharacterized. The record is from RefSeq and is a predicted model, not a curated record. The transcript has 3 exons. Lineage: Eukaryota; Metazoa; Arthropoda; Insecta; Hymenoptera; Apidae.
UAUUGUGUGUUCAUCGAAAGAAAUAAAAAGCAGAACAUCUUUCAUCCGUACAUUUUGUAAUACUGCUCGUGUGUCACACUUUAAAAAAAUAUUAAAGAAAUUCAGUCCAUUUCAUGAAGAGUGUCAUUACGUUCAAGGUAUUAUACGAAUAUUAGUUUACAAGUAAUUACAUUGAGCUUCGUAGCUUGAUAAAUAGGCACGUAUGUUUUCGCGGCCAACUAACAAAGAGCCGGGCGGUUAGUGAGUGACAACUUCCAGCAUGAGCAGGUAAAAUUGCAACAAGAGAGUAAGAAUGAGUUCUCGAGAGUUGUCGAUUUCAAACAACGGACAACAACAACUAUUAUGUUAACAACAGUGCCUGUUGUGAUUAAAUUUAAAAAAAAAUUCAACAACGAUGAAUACAGAUACAAUUUCGCAUCGUGACGGUUAAGGUUGGAACAAGUUGUUAGUUCUGCAUACCUCGAGGACCGACCGACGACCAGGCGACGAUGCAGCGUUCUUUCCAGGAA